AUUGAACGCUGGCGGAAUGCUUUACACAUGCAAGUCGAACGAUGAACCUUAGCUUGCUAGGGGGAUUAGUGGCGAACGGGUGAGUAAUAUAUCGGAACGUACCUUGUAAUGGGGGAUAACUAGUCGAAAGAUUAGCUAAUACCGCAUACGCCCUGAGGGGGAAAGUAGGGGAUCUUCGGACCUUACGUUAUAAGAGCGGCCGAUAUCUGAUUAGCUAGUUGGUGGGGUAAUGGCCUACCAAGGCGACGAUCAGUAGCUGGUCUGAGAGGACGACCAGCCACACUGGAACUGAGACACGGUCCAGACUCCUACGGGAGGCAGCAGUGGGGAAUUUUGGACAAUGGACGCAAGCCUGAUCCAGCCAUUCCGCGUGAGUGAAGAAGGCCUUCGGGUUGUAAAGCUCUUUCGCAAGGGAAGAAAACUUACACAAUAACACUGUGUGAGGCUGACGGUACCUUGAUAAGAAGCACCGGCUAACUACGUGCCAGCAGCCGCGGUAAUACGUAGGGUGCGAGCGUUAAUCGGAAUUACUGGGCGUAAAGCGUGCGCAGGCGGUUUUGUAAGUCAGAUGUGAAAUCCCCGAGCUCAACUUGGGAACUGCGUUUGAAACUACAAGACUAGAAUAUGUCAGAGGGGGGUAGAAUUCCACGUGUAGCAGUGAAAUGCGUAGAGAUGUGGAGGAAUACCAAUGGCGAAGGCAGCCCCCUGGGAUAAUAUUGACGCUCAUGCACGAAAGCGUGGGGAGCAAACAGG
Molecule: ribosomal RNA, 753 nt
Filed under: uncultured Methylophilaceae bacterium
Lineage: Bacteria; Pseudomonadati; Pseudomonadota; Betaproteobacteria; Nitrosomonadales; Methylophilaceae
Description: bacterial SSU rRNA
Rfam family: Bacterial small subunit ribosomal RNA
Source: RNAcentral